This 267-nucleotide ribosomal RNA is filed under the name uncultured bacterium. RNAcentral's name for it is "partial 16S ribosomal RNA". It matches the Rfam family "Bacterial small subunit ribosomal RNA", at positions 793 to 1055 of the family's 1533-position model. The record is from RNAcentral.
GUCUUGGCAGUAAACUUUGCACGUUUGGUGCGGGCGGGGUCAAGCCCUUCCGUGCCGGAGUUAACACGUUAAACGUGCCGCCUGGGAAAUACGAUCGCAAGAUUAAAACUCAAAGAAAUUGACGGGGGCCCGCACAAGCGGUGGAGUAUGUGGCUUAAUUCGAUGCAACGCGAAGAACCUUACCCGGAUUUGACAUGCAUUGCUAAGGCGCUGAAAGGCGCCGAGGAUAGCAAUAUCCACCUUGCACAGGUGCUGCAUGGCUGUCGU